AGUUGGUGAGGUAAAGGCUUACCAAGGCGACGAUCAGUAGCUGGUCUGAGAGGACGACCAGCCACACUGGGACUGAGACACGGCCCAGACUCCUACGGGAGGCAGCAGUGGGGAAUUUUGGACAAUGGGGGAAACCCUGAUCCAGCCAUGCCGCGUGAGUGAAGAAGGCCUUCGGGUUGUAAAGCUCUUUCAGCCGGAACGAAACGGUCACGGCUAAUACCUGUGACUACUGACGGUACCGGAAGAAGAAGCACCGGCUAACUACGUGCCAGCAGCCGCGGUAAUACGUAGGGUGCAAGCGUUAAUCGGAAUUACUGGGCGUAAAGCGUGCGCAGGCGGUUUUGUAAGUCAGAUGUGAAAUCCCCGGGCUUAACCUGGGAACUGCGUUUGAAU
RNAcentral lists this ribosomal RNA (393 nucleotides) under uncultured ammonia-oxidizing bacterium. RNAcentral's name for it is "bacterial SSU rRNA". It matches the Rfam family "Bacterial small subunit ribosomal RNA", at positions 247 to 632 of the family's 1533-position model. The record is from RNAcentral.